This 468-nucleotide ribosomal RNA is filed under the name uncultured bacterium. RNAcentral's name for it is "partial 16S ribosomal RNA". It matches the Rfam family "Bacterial small subunit ribosomal RNA", at positions 28 to 507 of the family's 1533-position model. The record is from RNAcentral.
GACGAACGCUGGCGGCGUGCUUAACACAUGCAAGUCGAACGGAAAGGCCCUGCUUUUGUGGGGUGCUCGAGUGGCGAACGGGUGAGUAACACGUGAGUAACCUGCCCUUGACUUUGGGAUAACUUCAGGAAACUGGGGCUAAUACCGGAUAGGAGCUCCUGCUGCAUGGUGGGGGUUGGAAAGUUUCGGCGGUUGGGGAUGGAAUGGCGGCUUAUCAGCUUGUUGGUGGGGUAGUGGCUUACCAAGGCUUUGACGGGUAGCCGGCCUUAGAGGGUGACCGGCCACAUUGGGACUGAGAUACGGCCCAGACUCCUACGGGAGGCAGCAGUGGGGAAUAUUGCACAAUGGGCGGAAGCCUGAUGCAGCAACGCCGCGUGCGGGAUGACGGCCUUCGGGUGGUAAACCGCUUUCGCCUGUGACGAAGCGUGAGUGACGGUAAUGGGUAAAGAAGCACCGGCUAACUACGUG